Molecule: ribosomal RNA, 390 nt
Filed under: uncultured bacterium
Lineage: Bacteria
Description: bacterial SSU rRNA
Rfam family: Bacterial small subunit ribosomal RNA
Source: RNAcentral
ACUCCUACGGGAGGCAGCAGUGGGGAAGUCUUGCGCAAUGGGCGAAAGCCUGACGCAGCCAUGCCGCGUGAAUGAUGAAGGUCUUAGGAUUGUAAAAUUCUUUCACCGGGGACGGAUAAUGACGGUACCCGGAGAAGAAGCCCCGGCCUAACUUCGUGCCAGCAGCCGCGGUAAUACGAAGGGGGCGUAGCGUUGCUCGGAAUUACUGGGGCGUAAAGGGAGCGUAGGCGGACAUUUAAGUCAGGGGUGAAAUCCCGGGGCUCAACCUCGGAAUUGCCUUUUGAUACUGGAUGUCUUGAGUGUGAGAGAGGUAUGUGGAACUCCGAGUGUAGAGGUGAAAUUCGUAGAUAUUCGGAAGAACACCAGUGGCGAAGGCGACAUACUGGCUCA